Carcharodon carcharias (great white shark) is the source of this 2998-nucleotide long non-coding RNA. RefSeq lists it as uncharacterized. The transcript is spliced from 2 exons. The record is from RefSeq and is a predicted model, not a curated record. NCBI's taxonomy places the organism in Eukaryota, Metazoa, Chordata, Chondrichthyes, Lamniformes, Lamnidae.
GACUAGCGAGCGCAUGCGCCCCUCACCUCGCCCAAGCACUGACCUUGAGGGUCUUUCACUCAGUGAGCGGGAGACCUUUGUUUCAAACGGACGGACAUGGAAAUCUUAGGACCCGGGUAAGCGAGUAAACAGCGUUCUGAUUCCAGCAGUGCACCGGUUUGUCAGUGUGGACACAGAAAUCAUCAUUGACUGGGGGUAAGUUCGGGGAGAACCGGGGGCUGUUUGUAAGAGGCGGAGCGGUGCAAGGCGUGUUCCGGAACUUGGAGUGAGCGGGUGGACGGAGAGAGGCCUUUCUGGGGCUGUGUGUGGCCCCGCUGAGGGAGGCAGAACCUGAGGAAUCUGCAAUUGAAAACUAUUGGGAUUUUGUCCCCUCAAACCUGUAACGCAUAUUCCAAGUAUUGCUGCUGAUUCAUGCAACUUGUCGGCAUUUGGACAGUGAACAGUCGAAACAGGCAGAGAGUAAGGAGGAGAGAAACCAUGGAGGGUCACCCCUGGAGCCAUACAGAUGUGGAUUGUUUCUGAGUGUCACUCAAUUGCUUGAGAACUACCAAAGCAGGCUGCUGACGUGGAAUCAGACACUUUAGUUUUUAUUGUUCGUUAUGUUUUCAAUCUAGAUAUAUAUAUUUUUUAAUUUGUCAGUUGAAAGAUUACGUUGACCUCUUGGCUUUCAAUGUCCUCCGCUGAUUUUGAGUUACAAGACUUGUGUUUCUUCCUCCAGGCAAAUCAGUGAAAGGAUCAGAUUCAAGCUGAUGAUCCCCCAGGAAAAAUAAAAGUGUAGCCGCCUCUUUCUAACUGACAGCAGGUACGAUGUUACUCCGAGGUUGCAGAGAUACUGACAGAACAUCAGCUCCACCAUCACCAAGAACAGAAAUAGUCAGGCUCAAACUGAUAUCAAACCCAGGUAUAAAUGCUCCAUCCAAUGGUCAGACACUCAGGGGUGGUGGAAUAAUUUUACCACAGUACACUCCUACUCAGUACUGCUGAAUUACAGGUCCACCAAUUGCAGUCAAAAAUCACAGCCAUUAUCUGAUUGAAGGGCAGCACGUCCAUGUCAGAAGACUAGUACAUCACCUACAAUUUAAAGACCAGGUGCUAAAACUGAUUGAAAUUUACAGAAUUAAUCCUUGAGUGCACCCAGCAUUCAUAAAGCAACACUAUAACUUUAAAACCAAAGAUCCCAUAUAAUUUAUGCUUUUAACUUUAUUCAUGGGAUGUGGGCUUUGCUGGCUGUGCCACCAUUUAGUCGUCCUUGAGAAGGUGGUGGUGAGCUGCUUUCUUGAGCUGUGUACGUGGUGUAGGUACACCCACAGUGCUGUUAGGGAGGCAGUUCCAAAAUGUUUCCCCAGCGACAGUGAAGGAACAGGAUAUAUUUCCAAGUCAGGAUGAUGGAGUGACAUGGAGGGGAAAUUCUAGCUGGAGGUGUUCCCAUCUACCUGCUACCCUUGUCCUUCAGGGUCGACAGGGCUGAGUUUAGUCACUUUUGUUUCCUCAGUCAAUGUCGGGUGGUCCAUCUGGUUCCAUUCCAUUUCUGUGACUUUGUAGCGGUUUAUUACAACUGAGUGGCCCAGUGGGUCGAACACAACACCAUAUGUAGGUCAGACCAGCUAAGGACAACAGGUUUCCAGCCUUAGUGAACCAGAUGGGUUCUUAGAACAAUCGACAAUGGUCACCAUUAGUCUUUUAAUUCCAGAUUUUUAUAGAAUUCAAAAUCCGCCAUGCCUCGGCAGGAUUCGAACCCGGGUCCCCAGAGUAUUACCCUAAGUCUUUGGAUUAAUAGUCCAAUGACAACAUCAAAACACCAUUGCCUCCCCCGGAUAAUGAUAAAGUACAUAUUCAUUAAUACAGACCCACAUACACAUCACGUGCCAGAGCAAUAUUCUCACUAAUAGUUAUAUCAACAGAUCUCUACAAACAAGAAAUGUUAAACCUUAACUGACAAAGCAGAUUUUGACAAGUACAGCAAAUUACAUUACACCACUCUCAUGGGAGAGACUGACAGAUACAGAAGAAACCUGAAUUCCCAUGACAGGGACAGAUGCUUACAUUGUAAAAUCACAGACACAGACCAGCAAUAAAGAGGUGCAGAAUAAAAUCAUUUUUUCCAUAACAUAAUUUUCAAAAUCGGAAGAAAAUGGGUACCCAGAAAGCAGACGUUGAUAGCUACAGUAAAAUCACACAUGAACAUGCAUCAAAAUCUGGAGGUUUGGGUUGAAGGGUUGAUGGGAGGGAGCGAAUGGUCCAUGCUCACACACUAAACUGAAAGCUGCAAUGUGAACAUCACACUCAAGUAAUACAGGCUGACAUGUUCACGGCAAAACCAACAAUGACCUACAAGGUGCAUAGAGACCUGCAGGGAAGACAAUACUCACAUACAAGAAUAUGAUAAGCAUAGGGCACAUUCUCAUACCAGGGAUUGAAAGCAAAUAAUUAAAUUCUCAUUCAUUUAAGAUAGCCUAAGAAUUUCAACAUAUUUCUUUUACCAUGCUGACAUUUCUGACCCUGACCCAAACAACAGGAAAAUGAAGCACACUGACAUAUCACAGAAUUACUGAUACAGAAUAAAAUCUGCACAUCUACAUACCAGUAACUGAGAGUUAAGUAGUAAAAUAUGCAUUACAUGUCAGCAACAGUGAAUGCGAAAUGCAUCCUCACAAGUCAGGCACUGGCAGGUGCAGAGUAAUAGCCACAAGUGCAUUACAGAGAGUUAAAUGCCCAGAGUAAAGCUGUAUGGCUCACAAAAAAUAUCUGCAUUGAAUACUAAUAGUAUUGAAACACCUCAGGGUGCAACAUGAUGUAUGUUGAUAACUCCAAUAUCAUUGCACUGUCUGACUGUCUGUAAUGACCAUAUUGAAAUGAUUGUAAUAUUCAUUGAUUGCAUUGAAGCAUCUCGUGAUCCAUGUGUAUAAGUUGAAUCUGAUUGUUAUUUUUGUGAUGGCGAUUUAGAAAUGUUCUUUCAGAUAUUUUAUGAAUAAAGUAUAUAUUUGUUUUUUUAAAAAAA